UUUAUGGAGAGUUUGAUCCUGGCUCAGGAUGAACGCUGGCGGCGUGCCUAAUACAUGCAAGUCGAGCGAACGGACGAGAAGCUUGCUUCUCUGAUGUUAGCGGCGGACGGGUGAGUAACACGUGGAUAACCUACCUAUAAGACUGGGAUAACUUCGGGAAACCGGAGCUAAUACCG
This 176-nucleotide ribosomal RNA is filed under the name Staphylococcus aureus. RNAcentral's name for it is "partial 16S ribosomal RNA". It matches the Rfam family "Bacterial small subunit ribosomal RNA", at positions 1 to 171 of the family's 1533-position model. RNAcentral also lists the same sequence under 1 other name. Lineage: Bacteria; Bacillati; Bacillota; Bacilli; Caryophanales; Staphylococcaceae. The record is from RNAcentral.